ACAGUGACUUUCCCAGGAUCAGAGAGGACAACCCCCGGUCCUGACAGCGCCGGUGCAAAUAACAUCAUGUACCGCGUUGUCCUGCCUCUAGGCAUAUUUCUAUUGGUUGCCGGUGCGAUUAUCAUCUUUUGCUGUUACAAGUACAAGGCCUGGCGCCGGCGUGAACAAAAACAGGCAACUGAUCUAGCGAUGGUUCGAGUGGAGAAGCCAGUUGAUCAAAAACCUGUAGUGAAAAUUAAGGAAAACAACAUCAGACCACAAAUGGAUAACAUCAAGAAAGAAAUGCCGAUUAU
Molecule: long non-coding RNA, 293 nt
Organism: Bufo bufo (common toad)
Lineage: Eukaryota; Metazoa; Chordata; Amphibia; Anura; Bufonidae
Exons: 4
Source: RefSeq, a predicted model, not a curated record